Molecule: long non-coding RNA, 299 nt
Organism: Ipomoea triloba (trilobed morning glory)
Lineage: Eukaryota; Viridiplantae; Streptophyta; Magnoliopsida; Solanales; Convolvulaceae
Exons: 3
Source: RefSeq, a predicted model, not a curated record
UUAGACCCAAAGACAGACUGGUGGGUCUUGGGGUCUUGUCUGAAGUUGAGAAGAAGACUUCUCCCUCCUCUUGCUUCCCGUUCCAUGUCGCAAUUGGAUCCAAGACCUGGUUAAACUUAGAUUUCCAAGGACAAGCAGAAACGAGUCCCAGAGUGAUCAAGGCGGAGAUUUACAGAAAGAGAGAAGAAUAUCAGCGCAUUCUGCAGCCAUAUUACAGACAUUGCAAGAGAAUUGAAGUUAAUCUUGAUUUCACUCUGGCGGCAGGAUAUGAUCCUAGGCAGAUAACAAUUGAAGAAGCC